GGGCCUGUGAGUUCAUAUCUGGAAUAAAAUAAUGGCAAAUCUACAGAAAUAUCACUGCUAAGGAGUGUCAAACAAAUUCAGGAGGACUGAAUUAACUGGAUGUUCUCAGGAUGAAAAAGAAAUUGUUGACUUUAAUUGAAUAAUCAUUAUCAUUAAUGUAAGGUUAAAAAUAUUGAACAUUCAAAAGGAUGCAGACAGAAAAUUGAAAGUAGGGCCUGAAUUUCAGGUUAAGUGAUCCAGGAAUGAGGUUGGCCCUCUGCAGGCUAAAUCAAUUGAGGGAGAUCCCUUUAUUUCAAGUUAAAUGAUUAUUUGAAUAAGAUGCCAUUCAGGCAAUAAGGGCCUGCAUGGUUAGGUCCAUAUUUUAAUUCAAAUUAUUAAGUACUCGAUUUAUCCAUCAACAAAACCCAACAUUAAAAUUUCCAUUGAGUGAGAUGCAACAAAACCAUCUAUAGUUUAUUAAUUAUGUUAACCUACUCCAUCAAUUGGCAAUGAGCCUACUUUAGUAAUAAUUUUAUAUACUCCAUCUCUAAUUUGCCCAUUAUAUUUAUAAACUGACAGUUAAUACUAUUACUCUUUCACAUACUAAUAAAAUCAUCUGGGCCUGGUUGUUCGAAGCCCGUGUAAGCCUUUGAACUACUGGCCCCAGAUGAUUUUAUUAGUCUGUGAAAGAUUAAUUAUUAACUGUCAGUUUAUAAAUAUAAUGGGCAAAUAUAUGAUUAUGUAAAAAUUGCAUGCAUGGUUCAUAAAAUCUCUGUGAUAGACUUAUAGAGGUUGCAGUGUUGCACUACCUUUUGCUAAAAUACUGCCAUUGUUUACCAGUAUUUAAUAUGAACUCAAAAGUCAAAACACU
This 850-nucleotide long non-coding RNA is filed under the name Paramuricea clavata. Lineage: Eukaryota; Metazoa; Cnidaria; Anthozoa; Malacalcyonacea; Plexauridae. The record is from RNAcentral.